GACGAACGCUGGCGGCGUGCUUAACACAUGCAAGUCGAGCGGUAAGGCCCCUUCGGGGGUACACGAGCGGCGAACGGGUGAGUAACACGUGAGCAAUCUGCCCAUCACAUCGGGAUAACUCCGUGAAACCGAAGCUAAUACCGAAUACGACCACCUCCGGCAUCGGAUGGUGGUGGAAAGUUCCGGCGGUGAUGGAUGAGCUCGCGGCCUAUCAGCUUGUUGGUGGGGUAACGGCCCACCAAGGCUUCGACGGGUAGCCGGCCUGAGAGGGUGACCGGCCACACUGGGACUGAGACACGGCCCAGACUCCUACGGGAGGCAGCAGUGGGGAAUAUUGGACAAUGGGCGAAAGCCUGAUCCAGCAACGCCGCGUGAGGGAUGACGGCCUUCGGGUUGUAAACCUCUUUCAGCAGGGACGAAGCGCAAGUGACGGUACCUGCAGAAGAAGCACCGGCCAACUACGUG
Molecule: ribosomal RNA, 465 nt
Filed under: uncultured bacterium
Lineage: Bacteria
Description: partial 16S ribosomal RNA
Rfam family: Bacterial small subunit ribosomal RNA
Source: RNAcentral